GGAGUGGCGCAGUUGGUUAGCGCGCCAGAUUGUGGCUCUGGAGGUCGAGGGUUCGAAUCCCUCCUUU
This 67-nucleotide transfer RNA is filed under the name bovine gut metagenome. It matches the Rfam family "tRNA", at positions 6 to 65 of the family's 71-position model. Rfam says of the family: Transfer RNA (tRNA) molecules are approximately 80 nucleotides in length. Their secondary structure includes four short double-helical elements and three loops (D, anti-codon, and T loops). The record is from RNAcentral.